Long non-coding RNA from Ctenopharyngodon idella (grass carp), 893 nucleotides. RefSeq lists it as uncharacterized. The record is from RefSeq and is a predicted model, not a curated record. The transcript has 4 exons. NCBI's taxonomy places the organism in Eukaryota, Metazoa, Chordata, Actinopteri, Cypriniformes, Xenocyprididae.
GUAAAAAACAUAACCCAUGUCUGCAAAACCUACUCAUUAGUAUAUCCACCGCUGACCAGAGACGCAGAGCUUUCCUUGCGCCCGGGGCCCUUCAGGACCGGCCGCUUUUGAAGAGACAAGACUCCUCAGGAACCUCAGACUCUGGACCAUUGGUCCUACAGUCUUUCCAAAUCAAACCUGUAGUUUUGUUCCCCAAAUUUUCAGCUAAAGCACCUUGGAGUUUGUAUCAGUACUCCAUUCAUCUGGCCUCUGUUUUAUUUUCAAGUGCCGCCGAGACUCCAAUUAUCAGCGGGAGGCUUAUUUUUCCUCUUCUUCUUUUUUCUUUUCCUAUUUUUCUUUCUUUUUCGUCAAAGGCAAGUCCUUUUGACUAUAAACUGAUUCCUUUGAGAGAGACACAAUGGUUGUUCGUGGUACCCAGCUCUUAAGGACUUUAAAUGUGUAUUUCAGAACAUAUGGACCAAGUUAAGGUAGAGACAGAAAAAGGAGUUUUCUACAAUCUCUCACUUAUUGUAAUGUCGAGCUAAUAUCCUGCGUCAGGAAUUGACAUGAAUGUCCCUAUACAUCUUUCUGCCACAAACUUGAGGACGUCUUCAACGUGGGUCUGGACCAUGCCGGCCAGGGGGGCGACCUGAGCCUGGACGGAGGCGGCCAGAGGCUUGAUGUGCUCUUCAAUGUUGCUGGAGAGGGGCUUCAGCUGCUCCUGGAGCUUCUCAAUCAUGGGCUGGAACUGGGCUCUGCUCUGCUCGAGUUCACAGUUAAGAUGAUGGACUUACUUGGCCUUGUUGGCCAGCUCAGGGCCCUCAACGUUCUUCAGAUUGUCCACAAGGUCCUGGAAGUACUUGGCGAUCUGGUCCAGCUCAGCAGGAGCGUCUCUCUUGACCAGAGAUACUGAC